Molecule: ribosomal RNA, 389 nt
Filed under: uncultured Anaerolineaceae bacterium
Lineage: Bacteria; Bacillati; Chloroflexota; Anaerolineae; Anaerolineales; Anaerolineaceae
Description: bacterial SSU rRNA
Rfam family: Bacterial small subunit ribosomal RNA
Source: RNAcentral
ACAUACAAGUAGUAGGGAAAGGAAACUGGACCGACCCUUCGGGGAGGCUUGUACAGGUGCUGCAUGGCUGUCGUCAGCUCGUGUCGUGAGAUGUUCGGUUAAGUCCGCUAACGAGCGCAACCCUCGCUGUGUGUUACAAGUGUCACACGGAACUGCCGGUCAUAAACCGGAGGAAGGUGGGGAUGACGUCAAGUCAGCAUGGCCUUUAUAUCCUGGGCUACACACACGCUACAAUGGGAAGGGGGCAAUAGGUUGCGAAGCCGCGAGGCGGAGCCAAUCCAGCAAAACUUCCCUCAGUUCAGAUUGCAGGCUGCAACUCGCCUGCAUGAAGUUGGAGUUGCUAGUAAACGCAGGUCAGCCAUACUGCGUUGAAUACGUUCCCGGGGCUU